UCCUGUGACAGGUGGCCUCGCCCUGAGGAACAGCCCUCCUGUGACAGGUGGCCUCUCUCUGAGGAACUGCCCUCCUGUGACAGGUGGCCUCGCCCUGAGGAACUGCCCUCCUGUGACAGGUGGCCUCGCCCUGAGGAACAGCCCUCCUGUGACACGUGGCCUCGCCCUGAGGAACUGCCCUCCUGUGACACGUGGCCUCGCCCUGAGGAACUGCCCUCCUGUGACAGGUGGCCUCGCUCUGAGGAACUGCCCUCCUGUGACACGUGGCCUCGCUCUGAGGAACUGCCCUCGUGUGACACGUGGCCUCGCCCUGAGGAACUGCCCUCGUGUGACAGGUGGCCUCGCUCUGAGGAACUGCCCUCCUGUGACAGGUGGCCUCACUCUGAGGAACUGCCCUCCUGUGACAGGUGGCCUUGCCCUGAGGAACUGACCUCGUGUGACACAUGGCCUCGCCCUGAGGAACUGCCCUCCUGUGACAGGUGGCCUCGCUCUGAGGAACUGCCCUCCUGUGACAGGUGGCCUCGCCCUGAGGAACUGACCUCCUGUGACACGUGCCCUCGCCUUGAGGAACUGCCCUCCUGUGACAGGUGGCCUCACCCUGAGGAACUGACCUCGUGUGACACAUGGCCUCGCCCUGAGGAACUGCCCUCGUGUGACACGUGGCCUCGCUCUGAGGAACUGCCCUCGUGUGACACGUGGCCUUGCCCUGAGGAACUGCCCUCGUGUGACAGGUGGCCUCGCUCUGAGGAACUGCCCUCGUGUGACACGUGGCCUCACUCUGAGGAACUGCCCUCGUGUGAUAGGUGGCCUCACCCUGAGGAAUUGCCCUCGUGUGACACGUGGUCUCACUCUACACACACACACACACACACACACACACACACACACACGCUCUGCUUCCCACCCCAGGGCUCUUCUCCCCACCUGCGCCGCAGCCCAGCCCUGGGACCCUGGCCUCGUCUCCCUCACGCGCCUGCCCGCAGCCACCAGCCCUGCCCAGAGCGCCCGCUGCCCCACAUCUCCAGCCCUGACCACCCGGCCCCACUCCUGCCCACACGGCACGCUGGACCCUUGUCUCCUUUGGGACCCACGGCCGCCUCACAACAGGCGAUUUCACACAACCGUGCUCGCUGCUCCUGUCCCCUACACACGAGGCAGGAGGGGCGCGGCGGCACGGGUCAGGGGCCUGGGAGUCUCCACCCCAUGCUUUUGCUCCCCUCCAGGCAUCUUCCCACCGACUCACUCUGGAACUUUCUCUGCAAGCUACAGGCUGAAACAACACAGGAGCCACAGGUCCUGCCUAGGAAAUGCCGAGUGGGAGAUAAAGGAGUCGCCAUUACACGAAGGUGUCCCUCCUCGGUGCCCAGACACGGGCUGUUAUUACAGGCAACGGGGACACUUCCCAGGUCCGGCUCUAGCUGACGUCACUGCAGGUGUGGCAGGGACAUCGAGGCAGGAAACACAUGCGGGCACUUCUUUCCCCCACUGACCGCCAGGUGGUUUUCAGACUGGCUCUUCCUGUCCCCGCCUGGCGGCUGGUAAGUGGGGACGCUACGUGCGUUUCUACCCGGAGCUCAAGGGGAGGGAGGGAGGCAGAGUUUGGAGCCAGGGGCAUGUGGGUUUGCGUGGCAGCUUGACCAUGGACCCCAGCAGUGCUGGGGGCGUGUCCCACUGAGUCCCGGCCAGCCAUGUCAGUGGGUGACUCAGCAUGGCACCCUCCACUGGGCUCACGCCCAAUCCUGGCAGAGCCAUGGCUCCCUUCCCCUGGGGAAUCGGCCGUCUCUUCCUUUGCCAUCAGCACCCCAGUUCUCCUCCGGAGAAACAUCCCACCCCACCCCCGGGCCACGUGCAUCCUCACGUCGGAACUGCCCCCACCCGCCCUAGCCCAGGGCAGGUGACUUUGGCCUGGCCCAUGGGUGCACUCUCGUUUUUCUGGCUGCUGUGACUGGCUCUGAGUGGGCCAUGUCACCAAGGACUGGUCACCAUGUCACCAAGGAGUCUCCACCAUGGGAUUUCUACUGGAUUAGCAAAGGGAGGCUCUUUUUUGGUGAAGCUACAGGAAAGGGGCAAGGCUAGAGCUUCGAAGACUCCACUUCCGGAAAAUGAAGCCAGCACGGAGCGGAGCAGGCCCAAGCUCUGGGAGAGGUGGGCUCCACGCCACAGGUUGUUGAAAAGAACUGACUUGGGCCUACGUGCGAAACCCGCCGUCCACAAAAAGGAAACUGGAAUUGCCUCUUGGCUGACACAGCCCACUCCUUCCCUCCCUGGCCCAGGAUGUGUCGAGUCCGCCUGUGGGCUGGUCACUGUCCCCAUCAGACUGCCGUGACUGUCAACCAACCACCUACGCUGCCAGCCAGACUCCGGUCUCCUUCUCAUACGAAAAACAUUAGGACCUUUUUGUCAACGCCCGUCUGCAGUCCCAGCGCACUGGGAGUAAACACUGCCUGGCUCUGACCGGCGCAGGGCUUGGACCCGGAGGGCUUGGAGCUCACUGUCACCUGGUCACAGAGGACACUUCGCCUGGUCCUCUGCCGGCGGUGGCUGCAGAUGCAGCGUGUCUCUAUGAUUCUAUUCCCGAGUCCUUGCCACACUCUGGGCACCUCUCGACCCACAGAAGGAGCCGUGGGCACAGCAGCGGGUCGUCCUCGGUGCGGCUGCUGCCCCUUGACCUUAUGCCACACGGGUGGCUCUUCUCUGUCCUCGUGCCAAACAGACUUCUAAGAGCCAGGUGUGCCCGUGCGUACAUUCUUAGCAGCCCUGGGCCUGUCCUCUGUCGGGCCACCCCCGGCCCUGCUCCUCCCCCCCCACCCGCAGCACACACCCCUGCUUGGUCGGAGGAGAGAGUUCCACACGCGUGUGGCCCCAGCAAGACCCGCCCGGCUCCCCCGCCCGGGGAAGAAGCCCUUCUUUGUCCUUCGUCCUCCUAACAACUGCCUUCCUCAUUUGCAGCGUAGGAAUCCUUC
Microcebus murinus (gray mouse lemur) is the source of this 2963-nucleotide non-coding RNA. The record is from RefSeq and is a predicted model, not a curated record. Lineage: Eukaryota; Metazoa; Chordata; Mammalia; Primates; Cheirogaleidae.